GAUGAACGCUGGCGGCGCGCCUAACACAUGCAAGUCGAACGGCACCCACCUCCGGGUGGAAGCGAGUGGCGAACGGCUGAGUAACACGUGGAGAACCUGCCCCCUCCCCCGGGAUAGCCGCCCGAAAGGACGGGUAAUACCGGAUACCCCGGGGUGCCGCAUGGCGCCCCGGCUAAAGCCCCGACGGGAGGGGAUGGCUCCGCGGCCCAUCAGGUAGACGGCGGGGUGACGGCCCACCGUGCCGACAACGGGUAGCCGGGUUGAGAGACUGAUCGGCCACAUUGGGACUGAGACACGGCCCAA
Molecule: ribosomal RNA, 303 nt
Filed under: uncultured bacterium
Lineage: Bacteria
Description: bacterial SSU rRNA
Rfam family: Bacterial small subunit ribosomal RNA
Source: RNAcentral